UACGUAGGGUGCGAGCGUUGUCCGGAAUUAUUGGGCGUAAAGAGCUCGUAGGCGGCCUGUCGCGUCGGAUGUGAAAGCCCGGGGCUUAACCCCGGGUCUGCAUUCGAUACGGGCAGGCUAGAGUGUGGUAGGGGAGAUCGGAAUUCCUGGUGUAGCGGUGAAAUGCGCAGAUAUCAGGAGGAACACCCGUGGCGAAGGCGGCUCGCUGGACCGCAACUGACGCUGAGGAACGAAAGCUAGGGGAGCAAACAGG
This 253-nucleotide ribosomal RNA is filed under the name uncultured bacterium. RNAcentral's name for it is "partial 16S ribosomal RNA". It matches the Rfam family "Bacterial small subunit ribosomal RNA", at positions 524 to 776 of the family's 1533-position model. The record is from RNAcentral.